GGUGCAGGGGAAGACAAGAUAUCUCCGAUUAAGCGAUUGAAGUGUUUAGUUGUUCGAUGUAAUAAUGAAUAUAGCAGUCUCAUUUACUCCUGACAUCUGAGCUGCUGAAGACGCAGAGGAUUAAGGUUACUUUUGCUUUGAAGUGAAUGUGCCGAUCCCCGAUCUACAUGAAUGCCAUCCGUUUGCCCGAAUCAUUCGUGAUCCAGCUUUAUCUACAGAAGAACAGAUGGCGCUGUCGGUCAAUUUACGCUAGUCUCCCGAGACCUUUUCAGACCAGUAUGAGUGGGGAACAGGAAUAUGUCUGGAAGCCCUGCUGCCAGUCUUUUUACCGUUUUUAAAAAAUUUUUGUAAUCUGAUCCUGGAUACAAUUACAACUCUAAGGGGUGAAACAAUGUUCUUCAAGGACAGCUUUUUCUGGCGUAGAUCUCCAAGCUGAAGUGUGACGCAACAUCUGAUCAAGAGUGUAUGAGUUCGGAUUAUACAGUAAGAGGUACUUGCGUGUGCUGAAGAACAAUUUUUUUCUUGCCCUGUUAGUUGAGCUUCCCUGAAAGAAGAAGUGGAUGUAAAUUUAGAAGGUUAUUUUACAACUACAGCAGUUUUUAAAUGCAUGUACAUAUUUAAACAAAUUAAUUGUUCAAUUAAUUUCUUCUUUCUGCUGUUUGUCACUGGACUUCUAAUAUAACUUGAAGAAUGUAUUUUUACAUAAUCAAUUUAAUGUAAUUUUUUUCAAAUAAA
Long non-coding RNA from Onychostoma macrolepis, 735 nucleotides. RefSeq lists it as uncharacterized. The record is from RefSeq and is a predicted model, not a curated record. The transcript has 4 exons. Lineage: Eukaryota; Metazoa; Chordata; Actinopteri; Cypriniformes; Cyprinidae.